RNAcentral lists this ribosomal RNA (243 nucleotides) under uncultured bacterium. RNAcentral's name for it is "partial 16S ribosomal RNA". It matches the Rfam family "Bacterial small subunit ribosomal RNA", at positions 92 to 334 of the family's 1533-position model. The record is from RNAcentral.
CGACCGGCGCACGGGUGAGUAACGCGUAUCCAACCUGCCCCACCCACUUGGGAUAACCUUGCGAAAGUAAGACUAAUACCCAAUGAUAUCUCUAGAAGACAUCUGAAAGAGAUUAAAGAUUUAUCGGUGAUGGAUGGGGAUGCGUCUGAUUAGCUUGUUGGCGGGGUAACGGCCCACCAAGGCAACGAUCAGUAGGGGUUCUGAGAGGAAGGUCCCCCACAUUGGAACUGAGACACGGUCCAA